GCAGUCGUACGAAAUUAUUUUAGUGGCGGACGGGUGAGUAACGCGUGAGGACCUUUUAAUAGGAAAGGAAUACAAACAAUUAAAUCCUUAUAAGCCUUAUAGUGAAAAAAGAAAUUUGCCUAGAGAUGAACUCGCGUCUGAUUAGUUAGUUGGUUGGGUAAUGGCCUACCAAGACGAUGAUCAGUAGUUGGUUUGAGAGGAUGACCAGCCACAUUGGAACUGAGACACGGUCCAAACUCCUACGGGAGGCAGCAGUGGGGAAUUUUCUGCAAUGGGCGCAAGCCUGACAGAGCAAUGCCGCGUGAGGGAUGACGGCCUUUGGGUUGUAAACCUCUUUUUUCAAGGAGGAAGUUCUGACGUGUACUUGAAGAAUAAGCAUCGGCUAACUCCGUGCCAGCAGCCGCGGUAAUACGGGGGAUGCAAGUGUUAUCCGGAAUUAUUGGGCGUAAAGUGUCUGUAGGUGGUUUAAUAAGUCUAUUGUUAAAGCUUGAAACUUAACUUCAGAGAUGCAGUAGAAACUAUUAAACUAGAGUAUAAUUGAGGUAGAAGGAAUUUCCAGUGGAGUGGUGAAAUGCGUAGAUAUUGGAAAUAACACCAAUUGCGAACGACUUCUAUUAAAUUAUUCUGA
Molecule: ribosomal RNA, 628 nt
Filed under: uncultured cyanobacterium
Lineage: Bacteria; Bacillati; Cyanobacteriota
Description: bacterial SSU rRNA
Rfam family: Bacterial small subunit ribosomal RNA
Source: RNAcentral